CUACGGGUUGCACCAGUGAGGAAUAUUGCACAAUGGGGGGAACCCUGAUGCAGCAACGCCGCGUGGAGGAUGACGCAUUUCGGUGUGUAAACUCCGUUUAUAUGUCAAGAAAAUGACGGUAGCAUAUGAAUAAGCACCGGCUAACUCCGUGCCAGCAGCCGCGGUAAUACGGAGGGUGCAAGCGCUACUCGGAAUCACUGGGCGUAAAGGACGCGUAGGCGGGUUGGAAAGUCAGGUGUGAAAUCCUACAGCUUAACUGUAGAACUGCACUUGAAACUUCUAAUCUAGAGUAUGGGAGGGGGAGAUGGAAUUAGUGGUGUAGGGGUAAAAUCCGUAGAUAUCACUAGGAAUACCUAAAGCGAAGGCGAUCUCCUGGAACAUUACUGACGCUAAGGCGUGAAAGCGUGGGGAGCAAACAGGAUUAGAUACCCGCGUAGUC
Molecule: ribosomal RNA, 439 nt
Filed under: uncultured bacterium
Lineage: Bacteria
Description: partial 16S ribosomal RNA
Rfam family: Bacterial small subunit ribosomal RNA
Source: RNAcentral